RNAcentral lists this long non-coding RNA (1264 nucleotides) under Rhinopithecus bieti (black snub-nosed monkey). RNAcentral's name for it is "lncRNA (ENSRBIG00000045395.1)". Lineage: Eukaryota; Metazoa; Chordata; Mammalia; Primates; Cercopithecidae. The record is from RNAcentral.
CAAGGCCUGUGUGAUCUCACUUCCAUCCACCUCCUCAAGGCUUUGAUUCAAACGCACUCAACAUCUAUUUGUCAGAUGCACAGAGCACUUGCCCACAGCAGGGCCUCACUGCUCCUUCUAUCUGGAGUACCUUCCGAUGGUUAGCUCUUUUCAUACUCAGCUAUCAGGUCAAAUGGCAGCUCCUCAGAACGCUUUCCCUGACCUUCCCAAGCCCCCAUCACAUCUGAGUAAGAAACUCCUCUGUCCCUCGUGGUGACUACCACAUUGCUCUGUUGAUUUUCUUUACACUCCUCAUUACACUGUGAAAUUAUCUUGUACACUCGUUUACCAGGUUUUGGCUGUUUCCCCCAAAUGGGGGUAAAUGUCACAAAAGAAGGGUGUUGCCAGUCAUGUUCAUCAUUGCCUAUCUUGCUCCUGGAACAGCAUGUGGGACAUACUGGUUGCCAAAUGUGAAAGGGAGGCAGGAGCAGAUGAUUUGUGUACAGAUCGCCCGGAGAGUGCUUCUACAGCGUACUGGAGGAUGCAGAAGCAAGGUAAAGGGAUGUGGGGACAGGCGGGGUUGUGUCUGUUGCUGUCAGCAGCUCUGGGCUCCCUCUCAGGAACUCUGUGGCACUCCAGGUACCUUCUCUGAUGUCUCUGUCAUCCAUGAUAGUCGUAUACUCCUGGCCUUCAGGGUGGAGGCUGUCACCGCCCUCUUUAUGAUUUUGAUCGCAAUUUACAUCUGGCCUGCCACCCUGAAUCUUUGGCAAACUUUCUUUUGAUGUGUGUGUAUGUGCACGUGCGUGUUUUCCCUGAGUGUGAAAAUUCGAGGGCAAAUUGAAUUUUGUCUUGAUAGUUGUCAAGUCACUGCAGAUUCAGACACUUCCCUCACUGCUGGCUUCUCUACAAAUCCAGCAGCUUCUGUCUUGGUGCCUGCCAACACCCAGUGAAGAGGCAAGUCCAGAGCCUCAGUGAGGAGGCUCAGCUCAAAGUUGAAAAGCACACUCCUGUUCUCUCUCCUGUUCUAUUUGUUACUGGCAAAGUCUUACUUACUGGGGUGGUAACAGAAAGUUGCUGCCUGGAGACUGACAGGCUUGAAUGCUGGUUCUGCUGCCUGAUAGCUGUGUGGCUUUGAGAAAGCGAUGUGAACCUUCCUGACCCUCAGAUCUCCCUCCUACUUUUUUUUUUUUUUUUUUUUUUUUUUUGAGACGGAGUCUCGCUGUCUCCUAGGCUGGAGUGCAGUGGCACGAUCUCGGCUCCCUGAAAGCUCCACCUCCCAGGUUCA